This 60-nucleotide transfer RNA is filed under the name Proasellus coiffaiti. RNAcentral's name for it is "transfert RNA-Q(CAA)". The record is from RNAcentral. Lineage: Eukaryota; Metazoa; Arthropoda; Malacostraca; Isopoda; Asellidae.
UAUCUUUAAGUGUUGCGCACGUAAACUUUUGAUGUUUAAGGGAGAUUUGUCUAAAGAUAA